This 71-nucleotide transfer RNA is filed under the name Chelodina parkeri (Parker's snake-necked turtle). RNAcentral describes it as "tRNA-Phe". It matches the Rfam family "tRNA". From Rfam's summary of the family: Transfer RNA (tRNA) molecules are approximately 80 nucleotides in length. Their secondary structure includes four short double-helical elements and three loops (D, anti-codon, and T loops). Further hydrogen bonds mediate the characteristic L-shaped molecular structure. tRNAs have two regions of fundamental functional importance: the anti-codon, which is responsible for specific mRNA codon recognition, and the 3' end, to which the tRNAs corresponding amino acid is attached (by aminoacyl-tRNA synthetases). tRNAs cope with the degeneracy of the genetic code in two manners: having more than one tRNA (with a specific anti-codon) for a particular amino acid; and 'wobble' base-pairing, i.e. permitting non-standard base-pairing at the 3rd anti-codon position. Lineage: Eukaryota; Metazoa; Chordata; Testudines; Chelidae. The record is from RNAcentral.
GUUACUGUAGCUUAUUAUUCAAAGCAUGGCACUGAAGCUGCCAAGAUGGGUAUUUAGUUCCCCCAGAAACA